Molecule: ribosomal RNA, 376 nt
Filed under: uncultured bacterium
Lineage: Bacteria
Description: bacterial SSU rRNA
Rfam family: Bacterial small subunit ribosomal RNA
Source: RNAcentral
UAAUACAGAGGGUGCGAGCGUUAAUCGGAAUUACUGGGCGUAAAGCGUGCGUAGACGGUUAUCUAAGUCGGAUGUGAAAGCCCCGGGCUCAACCUGGGAAUUGCAUUCGAGACUGAAUAGCUAGGGUACGGAAGAGGGAAGCGGAAUUUCAGGUGUAGCAGUGAAAUGCGUAGAUAUCUGAAGGAACAUCAGUGGCGAAGGCGGCUUCCUGGUCCAGUACCGACGUUCAGGCACGAAAGCGUGGGGAGCAAACAGGAUUAGAUACCCUGGUAGUCCACGCCUUAAACGAUGAGAACUAGACGUUGGAAGGGUUAGCCUUUCAGUGUCGCAGCUAACGCGAUAAGUUCUCCGCCUGGGGAGUACGGCCGCAAGGUUG